RNAcentral lists this small RNA (784 nucleotides) under Pongo abelii (Sumatran orangutan). RNAcentral describes it as "retained intron". The record is from RNAcentral. Lineage: Eukaryota; Metazoa; Chordata; Mammalia; Primates; Hominidae.
GGAAGCGGUCCGAGAAUGAAGAGUGUGAUCUACCAUGCAUUGUCUCAGAAAGAGGCAAACGACUCCGAUGUCCAGCCUUCAGGAGCACAGCGGGCCGAGGCCUUCGUGAGGGCCUUCCUGAAGCGCAGCACGCCCCGCAUGAGCCCACAGGCCCGCGAGGACCAGCUGCAGCGCAAGGCGGUGGUCCUGGAGUACUUCACCCGCCACAAGCGCAAGGAGAAGAAGAAGAAAGCCAAAGGCCUCUCUGCCAGGCAAAGGAGGGAGCUGCGACUCUUUGACAUUAAACCAGAGCAGCAGAGGUAACCCGAGCUCCCCACGUCUUUCUGCCCGCGGUGCUUACCCUUCUUGGUGUGCGAACUUGGCUGAGUGUCUGGGGAGGCAGCCGGGCUCCACCUAAGCUAAGGGCGCCUCUCUGUUGUCUGCCACAAGAGGGCUGCCUUCCUUUACCAAUCUGGGCUGUGUUCAGCCAGGCGGGUGAGACAGGACUCAUUGUCUGGCCUCUCUCCUCACCUUCACGAGUAACACCCGUGCAAGUACAUCUGUUGCCUGUGGCAACAGGCUGUUUGUCCUUCGGCUUUGUUAGACAGAGGAACUGAUAUGUUUUUAGUGUGUAUCACUUUAUAGCUUUUAAUAGAGCCAGACAGUCACCCACUCGGGUUUCAUUGCCAAAGCAAGAUGUUGCCCACACGUUUCAGAAGUUUCCAAAAGGAAUGCAUCACUGUCCUGUCCUGUGGGAGGAUGUCUUCCUCCAGCCGACCCUCCAUCCCCCCUUGGUGACAGGUCG